UGCCCCUUCUCUCGAGGCGGCCAAUGUAGUCAGUCUGGGGACCCACCUCCCCCUUUCAGCUGAGCGCACACAACACAGCAUCCACGUGAGUCAGCUUCUUAAAGGCGAAGGCUUGGCCUGUCUAAUUGCGGCAGCUGCGAGACAUCGCACGUCAUUAGCGUCACCAGGUAGCGGCUGGAGCCGAGCUUCCUGAUACCUAGUGAGCCGCGGUGAUGACAAAUGAAAACAAUAAGCUGUUUCCUAGACAAACAGCUGCCUAGUUUCGCUCUGUCGCCCAGGCUGGAGUGCAGUGGCACAAUCUCGGUUCACUGCAACCUCUGCCUCCCGGGUUCAAGCAGUUCUCUUGCCUCAGCCUCCCAAGUAACUGGUACUACAGUUUGUCCUCGGCUGUUACAGAGAAUUGAUACAAAAAAUGAUCAUGUGAAGAAUUUGCAUCUUCUGCAGAACUACCGGUAUCAGUCAGCAGUAGGAGAUUGCCAGACACGGUGGCUCACGCCUAUAAUCCUAGCACUUUGGGAGGCUGAGGUGUGUGGAUCACUUGAGCCCAGGAGUUCAAGACCAGCCUGAGCAACAUGGUGAAACCCCAUCUCUGCAAAAAAUACAAAAAUUAGCCAGGCGUGGUGGUGUGUACCUGUGGUCCCAGCUGCUGGGAAGGCUGAGGUGGGAGGAACAUUUGAGCCCAGAAGUUGAGCCGUGAUCACGCCACUGCACUCCAGCCUGGAUGACACAGCAAGACCUUGUCUCAAAAAAUAAAAUAAAAUAAAUUUUAAAAAA
Molecule: long non-coding RNA, 774 nt
Filed under: Homo sapiens (human)
Lineage: Eukaryota; Metazoa; Chordata; Mammalia; Primates; Hominidae
Description: HSALNT0301487
Source: RNAcentral